CGUAGGAAGAUGAACUUAUACCAUUAAGAUAUAGUGUGCGUAUAUAUAUAUGCCUUGGUAUAAAACUGCCGGAUUUAGAGCGAUAAAAUGAAGUUUAAUAGAGUGCUGCGUUACCUUAUAUAGGUGUUGCGAUGGCUAGAUUCGUUGCCAAUUGAGUGGUGGCUUAAAAGUCCACCUCAAACCUUCUUCUAACAACCUUCUUGAUUCUUCUUAUUUUCUCUCUAUCGUAUUCAAAAUUUUCCAUGCUCUAGUUUCAUUUUAUAUUCAAACCAAACUCAAUCUCAGAAACCCUAAUUUUAUCAGCAGACUCGAUCCAUCAAUUAUUCAUUCCACAGAGAGACAGAGAGGGAAAGGGAUCAUCAAAUCGGAGCAUACCCAUUCAUAUGGAAAGGAUAGUGGGAGGGAAGUAUAAGCUAGGUCGCAAGAUCGGAAGCGGAUCGUUUGGUGAAAUCUAUCUGGCUACUCACGUCGAUAGUUUUGAGAUAGUUGCUGUCAAAAUUGAGAAUAGCAAGACAAAACACCCUCAGUUGCUUUACGAGGCCAAGCUAUAUAAUAUUCUUCAGGGAGGAAGUGGUAUUGCAAACACAAAAUGGUGUGGUGUAGAUGGAGAAGACAAUAUCCUUGUCCUUGACCUGCUAGGACCGAGUCUUGAAGACCUGUUUGUUUACUGUGGGAGGAGGUUCUCACUGAAAACAGUGUUAAUGUUGGCUGAUCAGAUGAUUCCGAGAAUAGAAUAUAUGCAUUCUAAAGGGUUUUUGCAUAGAGACAUCAAACCAGAUAAUUUCCUCAUGGGUCUUGGCCGGAAAGCAAAUCAGGUUUACAUUAUUGAUUUUGGGCUAGCAAAAAGAUAUCGUGAUUCUACUACGAACCGUCAUAUCCCGUACAGAGAGAAUAAAAACUUAACAGGGACUGCACGAUAUGCAAGUUGCAAUACUCAUUUAGGAAUUGAACAAAGCCGUCGCGAUGAUUUGGAAUCCCUUGGCUACGUUCUUUUGUACUUUUUGAGAGGAAGCCUUCCAUGGCAGGGUCUAAAAGCUGCAACAAAAAAGCAAAAAUAUGACAAAAUAUGUGAGAAGAAGUUAUCUACUCCCAUUGAGGUUUUAUGCAAGUCUCAUCCGGUGGAGUUUGCAUCCUACUUCCAUUAUUGCCACUCUUUAACAUUUGAUCAGCGGCCUGAUUAUGGAUUCUUGAGGCGCCUAUUUCGUGACUUGUUUACUCGUGAAGGUUUCCAAUUUGAUUACAUAUUUGAUUGGACUAUCCUAAAGUACCAGCAAGCGCAAAGGACAAAGACACAGCCCCAAUCCUCUAAUUUGCAGCCACUUUCUGGAGUGAACAGCAAGAAAGCAGUGCCAAUGGAUUUGGGUAAGCAUCAAGGUAAGCUUUUGGCAGGAGGCAAUGAUGCUUCUUUUUCAGCUGCAGCUACAGACCGCAGAGAAAGUGGUUUCAUGCAUGCUGGUGGUCAUAUGCAUUCUAGAUCGGGAGUAGCAUAUAAUUCAAAUGCUGAUAAUCCCAUCCAGAAACAUAGUAUAAGCAAUGCGGCAAUGCCAUCUACUUCGUUUUCGUUGGCCAGCACCUUGGAAAGAAAUCUUCCGAAGCCAGAGGAGCCAACUGAAGCUGCGAACAUUGGUCAUGGACUAGGGAGAAAAGUUGGUCCCUCAAGCAGUUGGAUGCAAACGUUGCACCGCAUUUCUUCUCCCAAGUAAUUGGACAUGGAUCUGACGGAGAAGAUACAUAGAAUGUUCUGCAGAUUUGCCUCUGUUGUGAAGUUAGCAUUCCUUGAGUCAGUCAGUGCCAAAUCACGUAAUGUAUUUCUCUUAAGGUACUCGAGCCCUUCAGAGUGUGAACAUGGUAAUCUAGUGUUUCAGAUUAUGAUAUAUGAUGGGUGUAAUUGAUGAAGGGGAUCUAACGGGAAGGUUUUGAAGUCAAUUCAACUGCUUUUUGUAAGAAAUCCAAAUCUUCUUGGUGUUAUUCAUGUGGAGCUUUAUAUUUUGGGGAUUCCAAGUGGAUAAGAGAAGUCAUCAGGAACGCAUGCUUCACCGGGAGAUGGUAUGCAAAGCCUAAAACAGCUGUUCCUCCGAGUAUAGGAGGAAGCUGAUUCACUAGACAAAUUAAUCAGGUGGUACUAUUGCCUUCCUUUCCAUUCUGUUCAAUAAUCGAAUAAUCCACAACCUUUGAUGUUUCAUUGCACCCCUUUCCCAGUUCUUGGAAAAAAUGAGUUGCAAGGUUGCAAUGGCCAACACCUCUCUCUCCGUUCUUACACCUUUUUUAUUUUUAAUUUAAUUUUUUAAUUAUUAUAAGUAGAACACCUCCCCACACCCAGAAGGGAAAGUGUGUGUGUGUGUGUGUGUGUGUGUGUGUGGGAUCUUGAAUCGAAGGUGAAGGUAUGCCAAUUGAGAUGGAAGCUUGGUUUCUCCUCU
Molecule: RNA transcript, 2417 nt
Organism: Cornus florida
Lineage: Eukaryota; Viridiplantae; Streptophyta; Magnoliopsida; Cornales; Cornaceae
Gene name: casein kinase 1-like protein 3
Exons: 18
Source: RefSeq, a predicted model, not a curated record